This 253-nucleotide ribosomal RNA is filed under the name uncultured bacterium. RNAcentral describes it as "partial 16S ribosomal RNA". It matches the Rfam family "Bacterial small subunit ribosomal RNA", at positions 524 to 776 of the family's 1533-position model. The record is from RNAcentral.
UACGUAGGGGGCAAGCGUUGUCCGGAAUUAUUGGGCGUAAAGAGCGUGUAGGCGGCCAGGUAGGUCUGCUGUGAAAACUCGCGGCUCAACCUCGAGACGUCGGCGGAAACCAUCUGGCUAGAGUCCGGAAGAGGAGAGUGGAAUUCCUGGUGUAGCGGUGAAAUGCGCAGAUAUCAGGAAGAACACCCGUGGCGAAGGCGGCUCUCUGGGACGGUACUGACGCUGAGACGCGAAAGCGUGGGGAGCGAACAGG